CACACCCAUUAAAAAUUUGUGUCAAAUAAAAAUUUUUGUAAAUAUCUUUGCGAAAUAAAUAAUGUUGUGUGAAAUAAACCUUUAUUUUUGUAGAAGUAAAAAAUAGAAGACAUAGGAUCAUAGACAUAGGAUAUUGUUAGAUAAUUAAAAAUAAAUUAAUAAUUUAAAAUAAUAAAGCACCUCUACAAUACCUAAGAACAUCGCAGUUGAUUGAAAAUGCGUAUUUAAACCAAAGUUCCUUCAAGCACUGACAAAGGAAGUAAUUUUCAUAGAAGAAGGCAACAGUAACUUUUAAGGAGGAAUGAAGAAUGAAGUUACGAAGGAAGUCUGUUGUACUUUAAUAAAACUUUGUCGAGAUCAGUCAAUCAUUGGUUCUUUAGGUAAGUAAAGGAAUGUAAAACCACAGUAGAAGUAAUUUCUUUUGGGUGAAAGCACAGGAUAGGUACAAAGUUGGAGUCAUUUUCUAUGGACUCAAGGAAGAAGAUAAAUGUUAUAUAAUAUCUUCACAAAAUUCACUGAAGUCACCCCCAAAGUAUUUGUGUUUGUGAAUCUUUUGUGAAUCGAAUGAUGGAUCAUCAUACAGAGGACUCCACAAUUAUUAUUGAAGGAGGUCUAAUAAAUUUGUUCAUGGAAUUCAAAACAGACAAAGGACAAUGAUUGGCUAAGGAUAUUAAUUCGAACAGCAGAAGAUAUAGUUCAAGCAGCCAUAGUUGAACAACUAAAGAUAUUGCCCAAAAUAUGAAUUUGAAUUGAAAAAUAUGCUGAAUGAAGAAAAAAUUUGGUGUUAUCGUCCAUCAUUUCAAGGCUAAUUUUUGUGCUACUUACGAUAUAUCCAUAACAAGAAGUGUUUUACACUUUUAAAAUAGAGUUCAUUCAAGCACUGACAACGGAUUUUAGGCUAUUAUUAAAAGUAAUUUUCAUAGAAGAAGGCAACAGUAACUUUUGAGGAGGAAUGAAGUUACGUAGGAAGUCUGUUGUACUUUAAUAAAACUUUGUCGGCUCUAAGGAUAGGUACAAAAUUGAAGUUAUUUUCUAUGGACACAAGGAAGAAGAUAAAUGUUACAUAAUAUCUUUACAAAAUUCACUGAAAUCACCUCCAAAGUAUUUGUGUUUGUGAAUUGAAUGAUGGGCCAUCAUACAGAUAAAGGAUAUGUACAAAAUUGGAGUUAUUUUCUAUGGACACAAGGAAGAAGAUAAAUGUUACAUAAUAUCUUUACAAAAUUCACUGAAAUCACCUCCAAAGUAUUUGUGUUUGUGAAUUGAAUGAUGGACCAUCAUACAGAUAAAGGAUAGGUACAAAAUUGGAGUUAUUUUCUAUGGACACAAGGAAGAAGAUAAAUGUUACAUAAUAUCUUUACAAAAUUCACUGAAAUCACCUCCAAAGUAUUUGUGUUUGUGAAUUGAAUGAUGGGCCAUCAUACCACCGUACAUAAAACUCAAUCAUACAGAUAAAGGACUUUGUUCAUGGAAUACAAAACACACAAAGGACAAUGAUUGGCUAAGGGUAUUUAUUCGAACAGCAGAAGAUAUAGUUCAAACAGCCAUACUUGAACAACUAAAGGUUUGGGUCUAUGAAACAUAUCACCCAGUAAGCUGAUUAACUAGACUCCUUCCUACAUUCCAACGAUACUGCAAGAUAUCCAUAACUACCAGAGCUUCAACACCAGCUGGAUUUUAUUUACUUUAAUUUAAUUUCUUAUAAAAUAUUUAGUAUUUUUAGGUGACCAUUAUAUUAAACACAAUUACAUUUAAAUAAAUAAAACUCACAGACCUU
Molecule: long non-coding RNA, 1774 nt
Organism: Sitophilus oryzae (rice weevil)
Lineage: Eukaryota; Metazoa; Arthropoda; Insecta; Coleoptera; Curculionidae
Exons: 11
Source: RefSeq, a predicted model, not a curated record